CAGCAGCCGCGGUAAUACCGGCGGCCCGAGUGGCGGUCACUAUUAUUGGGCUUAAAGCGUCCGGAGCCGGGUUGGGAAGUCCUCCGGGAAAUCUGGCCGCUUAACGGUCAGAAUGCCGGAGGAUACUCCCAGCCUAGGGAGCGGGAGAGGCCGAGGGGAUUCCCGGAGUAGGGGUGAAAUCCUAUAAUCCCGGGAGGACCACCUGUGGCGAAGGCGCUCGGCUGGAACGCGUCCGACGGUGAGGGACGAAGGCCAGGGGAGCAAACCGGAUUAGAUACCCGGGUAGUCCUGGCUGUAAACGAUGCGGACUUUGUGUCGGACAAGCUAUGAGCUUGUCCGGUGCCGGAGGGAAACCGUUAAGUCCGCCGCCUGGGGAGUACGGCCGCAAGGCUGAAACUUAAAGGAAUUGGCGGG
RNAcentral lists this ribosomal RNA (414 nucleotides) under uncultured microorganism. RNAcentral describes it as "bacterial SSU rRNA". It matches the Rfam family "Archaeal small subunit ribosomal RNA", at positions 459 to 872 of the family's 1478-position model. The record is from RNAcentral.